AAUGAACUCUGUUGUGCUCACCAUAUAAUGUCGGGAUAUGGCCGGCAGUUUCUACAUCUCACCGGAAAUGAGAUACUAUGGUGCUUCUUCUUUCAUGA
This 98-nucleotide non-coding RNA is filed under the name Erysipelotrichaceae bacterium. RNAcentral's name for it is "Guanine sequence". It matches the Rfam family "Purine riboswitch aptamer". Rfam says of the family: Riboswitches are metabolite binding domains within certain messenger RNAs that serve as precision sensors for their corresponding targets. Allosteric rearrangement of mRNA structure is mediated by ligand binding, and this results in modulation of gene expression. Lineage: Bacteria; Bacillati; Bacillota; Erysipelotrichia; Erysipelotrichales; Erysipelotrichaceae. The record is from RNAcentral.